RNAcentral lists this ribosomal RNA (1457 nucleotides) under Nocardia sp. RNAcentral's name for it is "bacterial SSU rRNA". It matches the Rfam family "Bacterial small subunit ribosomal RNA". Lineage: Bacteria; Bacillati; Actinomycetota; Actinomycetes; Mycobacteriales; Nocardiaceae. The record is from RNAcentral.
AAGGGGGGGUCUUACCAUGCAGUCGAGCGGUAAGGCCCUUCGGGGUACACGAGCGGCGAACGGGUGAGUAACACGUGGGUGAUCUGCCUCGCACUCUGGGAUAAGCCUGGGAAACUGGGUCUAAUACCGGAUAUGAGCCUCCUUCGCAUGGAUGGGGUUGGAAAGGUUUACUGGUGCGAGAUGGGCCCGCGGCCUAUCAGCUUGUUGGUGAGGUAACGGCUCACCAAGGCGACGACGGGUAGCCGGCCUGAGAGGGCGACCGGCCACACUGGGACUGAGACACGGCCCAGACUCCUACGGGAGGCAGCAGUGGGGAAUAUUGCACAAUGGGCGAAAGCCUGAUGCAGCGACGCCGCGUGAGGGAUGACGGCCUUCGGGUUGUAAACCUCUUUCGACAGGGACGAAGCGCAAGUGACGGUACCUGUAGAAGAAGCACCGGCUAACUACGUGCCAGCAGCCGCGGUAAUACGUAGGGUGCGAGCGUUGUCCGGAAUUACUGGGCGUAAAGAGCUUGUAGGCGGUCUGUCACGUCGAUUGUGAAACCUCGCGGCUCAACCGCGGGCCUGCAGUCGAUACGGGCAGACUAGAGUACUUCAGGGGAGACUGGAAUUCCUGGUGUAGCGGUGAAAUGCGCAGAUAUCAGGAGGAACACCGGUGGCGAAGGCGGGUCUCUGGGAAGUAACUGACGCUGAGAAGCGAAAGCGUGGGUAGCGAACAGGAUUAGAUACCCUGGUAGUCCACGCCGUAAACGGUGGGUACUAGGUGUGGGUUUCCUUCCACGGGAUCCGUGCCGUAGCUAACGCAUUAAGUACCCCGCCUGGGGAGUACGGCCGCAAGGCUAAAACUCAAAGGAAUUGACGGGGGCCCGCACAAGCGGCGGAGCAUGUGGAUUAAUUCGAUGCAACGCGAAGAACCUUACCUGGGUUUGACAUACACCGGAAAGCCAUAGAGAUAUGGCCCCCCUUGUGGUCGGUGUACAGGUGGUGCAUGGCUGUCGUCAGCUCGUGUCGUGAGAUGUUGGGUUAAGUCCCGCAACGAGCGCAACCCUUAUCUUAUGUUGCCAGCGCGUAAUGGCCGGGGACUCCUUGAGAGACUGCCCGGGGUCAACUCCGAAGGAAGGUGGGGGACGAACGUCAAGUCAUUCAUGCCCCUUUAUGUCCAGGGGUUUCCACCAUGGCUACAAUUGGCCGGUACAAAAGGGUUGCGAUACCCGUGAGGUUGGAACGAAUCCCUUAAAAGCCNGGUCUCANGUCCGGAUCGGGGGCUUGCAACUCGAACCCCGUGAAAUUUGGAUUCGCUAGGUAAUCCGAGAUUCAACCACCCUGCCGGUGAAUACUUUCCCCGGGCCUUUGUACACCGCCGUCAGCUUGAAAAUCGGGUAACCCGCGAAACGUGGGCUAACCCCUGGGGAAGGAACCCCAAGGGAAUUGCUAUGGAGGAUCCUCAGUAGAUCAAAA